GAGAACGCCGGGGACGUGGCGGCGGGGGAGAGCCGCAAGCUGUUCGUGGGUGGCAUCCCGUCCUCAGCGCAGGAGACGGAGCUGCGGGGCCACUUUGCCCGCUUCGGUGCGGUGCGCUCAAUCGUCGUGAUGCGGGACAAGGAGUCGGGCCACGGCCGCGGGUUCGGGUUCGUCGAGUUCGAGGACGAAGAAGCGGCCGCCAAGGCGCUCGGUGACGGGGAGAGGCCCAAGCACUUCAUCUGCGGCCGACUGGUCGACGUUAAGAGGGCGCGUGCUAGACCUCCGCGGAACUUGGGCGAGCAACCUGUGCAUCAGCAUCAGCAUCAGCAUCAGCUGGAACAGGGUCCGGUUCAGGGUCACCAAGACGCUGGGGACAGUACCGGGGCCAGUAGUGACAGUAUGAGCUAUGCUUCAAAGAAGGUAUUCAUUGGUGGUUUGCGUGACAACAUCACAGAGGAGGAGUUCAGAGCUUACUUUGAGGCGUUUGGCACUGUAACAGAUGUUGUUGUGAUAUACGACAGCCUGACAAGCAGGUCAAGGGGUUUUGGUUUUGUCACCUUUGAUUCUGAGGAAGCUGUGAGAAAGGUGAUGAGGCAAAGCUUUCAUGACUUGAAAGGGACAAGGGUGGAAGCAAAGAUCGCUAUCCCCAAGGAUGCUCAGUAUUACCGUAAUGGCCGAGGUCGUGGCUCAAGAACCUUUGGUGGAAGGGGUCCUGUUGGCUUUGAUGGUUCAACAUACCAACCGUACAAUAACCGACAUGGUUUCUACAAUGGCUAUAUGCCACAACCUGUUCCCACACAUCCCUACUAUCAUGGCCUCUAUUUUGGUAUGGGAGGCAAUCCCUAUGCAAAUGCAUAUCCAAACCAUGCAGUCAUGGCAAAUGUUCCAAACAUGGUGGCAAGGCGUCCAGUAUAUAGCCCAUAUCCCCCAAUGUAUCCUGGCUAUGGUUUUGCAUACAGAAGUGGUUAUGCGGGUGCUGCGCCUUCUGUUCCGUAUGGCGUUAAUGGUGGCAGGGAUUACAUGAAUGACCAAGACUCUAUGGAUGUACAAGAACUUGACAGCGCUGCUACCAUUGCUACAAAGUUUGAAUACAUGAAGCUAGGUUCACAAUGA
This 1113-nucleotide ribosomal RNA is filed under the name Triticum aestivum (bread wheat). Its description in RNAcentral is "partial small subunit ribosomal RNA". Lineage: Eukaryota; Viridiplantae; Streptophyta; Magnoliopsida; Poales; Poaceae. The record is from RNAcentral.